UGGGAACCCACCAUCUCUGUGGGCUCAGCAUAAAGGCAUGGCCUGGGGCUGUACAGGGCUGUAUGGGCUGGGUCACAGACCUUGUGCUUUGCUUGUACUCAUACACACUGCAUUGUGGCCUUCAACAAGCGUGGGUCAGAGGGCCAUCACCCUGCCCAGGAGGGAGGUGGCUGAAGGCCAUGCACACAGCAGAAGUAAAGCAAGCAGAAGAUCAAGCCCCAGAAAUGGUCAAAUCCACUCCGGGAGAGAAAUCAAAGGAUGCACAGUGCUCUCCCUGCCUGCAGAGACUCCCAGCUCUGUGCUGAUUGCAGGCAUCACCCGAAGCCCUCAUUCAUGCAAACCAUCCAUCAGCUGAUGGGGGGUCUGCACAGAGCUCACCCCCCAGCCCCACACCUCUGGAGCACCACAAAAUCCUUCUUCAUCUACAGCUGAGCAGCGUGGAGGCAGCUGGUGGAAGCAAGAAAUGCAUUCGGGCCCAGUGGGAGAGGA
Gallus gallus (chicken) is the source of this 489-nucleotide long non-coding RNA. NCBI's taxonomy places the organism in Eukaryota, Metazoa, Chordata, Aves, Galliformes, Phasianidae. The record is from Ensembl.